UCCAAGACAUUUGAUGGGAAUGAUUAUUGUUUUUCAGGAAAAUGGAUGCUAUCCACACUUUUUCCAGAGAAUGAGAACUAGAUAAUUUGCUUAAAUGCAUUGAAAGUGGUGUUUUUGUGCAUUUGCAAGACAGUGAAGGCAGGACCCCGAUGCAUUGGGCUGUAGAUCGUGGCCAUCUUAAAAUUACCGAAGCACUUCUUAGCAGGAAUGCUGAUGUGAAUGCUAAGGACAAUGAAGGUCAAACCCCAUUGCACUAUGUUGUUAUGUGUGAGAGGGAAGACAUUGCCAAAUUUCUUGUAAAACAAAAUGC
This is a long non-coding RNA of Gossypium raimondii (Peruvian cotton), 310 nucleotides long. RefSeq lists it as uncharacterized. The transcript has 3 exons. Lineage: Eukaryota; Viridiplantae; Streptophyta; Magnoliopsida; Malvales; Malvaceae. The record is from RefSeq and is a predicted model, not a curated record.